Molecule: unclassified non-coding RNA, 216 nt
Filed under: uncultured fungus
Lineage: Eukaryota; Fungi
Description: sequence contains ITS1, 5.8S rRNA gene
Source: RNAcentral
AACCUUAUAUCACGGGGGCCGGCCUUGAAUUGCUUGCAGUUCUAAUGCGACGGCUUUUGCCGAUCCAUUGUAAUACUCAGCUUUUCUCUCCGCCCUGUCGGAACAUUACCCAUGAUUUUUGCGUACCUAUUGUUUCCUCGGCAGGCUUGCCUGCCAGCAGGACCCUUUUAAACUAUCUUGCAAUUGCAGUCAGCGUCAGAAAAACUUUAAUAGUUA